GAUGAAGAACGUAGUGAAAUGCGAUAAGUAAUGUGAAUUGCAGAAUUCAGUGAAUCAUCGAAUCUUUGAACGCACAUUGCGCCCGCUAGUAUUCUGGUGGGCAUGCCUGUCCGAGCGUCAUUUCAACCCUCAAGCCCCCGGGCUUGGUGUUGGGGAUCGGCGAGCCUCCGCGCCCGCCGUCCCCUAAAUCUAGUGGCGGUCUCGCUGUAGCUUCCUCUGCGUAGUAGCACACCUCGCACUGGGAAACAGCGCGGCCACGCCGUUAAACCCCCAACUUCUGAACGUUUGACCUCGGAUCAGGUAGGAAUACCCGCUGAACUUAAGCAUAUCAAUAAGCGGAGGA
This 343-nucleotide unclassified non-coding RNA is filed under the name soil metagenome. RNAcentral describes it as "partial contains 5.8S ribosomal RNA, internal transcribed spacer 2, and large subunit ribosomal RNA". The stretch from base 1 to 120 matches the Rfam family "5.8S ribosomal RNA", at positions 35 to 154 of the family's 154-position model. The record is from RNAcentral.